UACGAAGGGGGCUAGCGUUGCUCGGAAUCACUGGGCGUAAAGCGCACGUAGGCGGAUUGCUAAGUCAGGGGUGAAAUCCUGGAGCUCAACUCCAGAACUGCCUUUGAUACUGGCGACCUUGAGUCCGGGAGAGGUGAGUGGAACUGCGAGUGUAGAGGUGAAAUUCGUAGAUAUUCGCAAGAACACCAGUGGCGAAGGCGGCUAACUGGUCCGGUUCUGACGCUGAGGCGCGAAAGCGUGGGGAGCAAACAGG
RNAcentral lists this ribosomal RNA (253 nucleotides) under uncultured bacterium. RNAcentral's name for it is "partial 16S ribosomal RNA". It matches the Rfam family "Bacterial small subunit ribosomal RNA", at positions 524 to 776 of the family's 1533-position model. The record is from RNAcentral.